UACAGAGGUCUCGAGCGUUAGGCGGAAUCACUGGGCUUAAAGCGUGUGUAGGCGGAUCGGUAAGUACCUUGUGAAAUCCCACAGCUUAACUGUGGAACUGCUUGGUAUACUGCCAGUCUUGAGCCAGCUAGGGGCUACCGGAACAAAUGGUGGAGCGGUGAAAUGCGUAGAUAUCAUUUGGAACGCCAAAGGUGAAAACAGGUAGCUGGGGCUGUGCUGACGCUGAGACACGAAAGCCAGGGGAGCAAACAGG
RNAcentral lists this ribosomal RNA (253 nucleotides) under uncultured bacterium. RNAcentral describes it as "partial 16S ribosomal RNA". It matches the Rfam family "Bacterial small subunit ribosomal RNA", at positions 524 to 776 of the family's 1533-position model. The record is from RNAcentral.